AAACAAUGCCGAUAUUUUAAUUAUAAACUAAAGAUUUGAAAAGAAGCAUAGACAAAUUUACUCCUACUCACCUGUAAUUGAGAAUGUAAAUACUAAUUAGCUGGUGUUGAUUUCCCAAAGGUGCCUUCGUGAGAACACGGUUGCUGGCCUGGUGGGUCUGAGCAUCCCACCCUGUGCAGUAAUCUGUCUCCAGAAGCAAGCAGUGGUAGGUGCUGAAGAGCUCUCUUUCACAAGACCUGGCUGCUCCAAUGUGCCUGACAGACAUGCAGCACAAGUCUGACCACUCAGUAUUCAGGCACAAAGAGAGGAUGACCCUUGUCAGGAUUUUAUUGAUGUAAUUGAAGGAUUUUGGAUUAGAGAGGGAGUUAGGAACGAGGGUAGUGAGGGUGCUAGUGUUUGAUGGAUUCUGGGCUCUGCUUGGAUGGGUCAUUUCACUGGAUUUAAUACAGUUAUCCUCAGAAAUGCACACAUUUUACCCUUCAGGUUGAACAGUUAUAAAAUAUGAGGAAGGCUGGAUUAAACUGGGUUAGCAACAAAAAAAAUUACACAACUUUGCUAGUGUUCAGCACUCAGGCAUUACACAACCUUCUACCUCUCUAGUGUUUAGUAGCUGUUUAUUUGAAAUCAUUUUAUGCCCAAGGUUAAGAUUCCAUUUAAUGAAAACAAAAUGUAGAAAAUGUGAACUCUAGACACAAGAGAUUUGAGAAUAAAUGUAGCUGUAUGGGCUAGAUUUAUUCUCUCCUUCCUUUCCCCAUCUUCACCCUUUAUUUUUUCCACAGAAUCUAACCAGCACCCUUAUUCUCCUUUCAUUUUUUAUAAAAUAUGCUGUGAUGGAUCAUGUCACAACUACUUAAGCAGCAGCACAGUGAAACAGCAUUUCAAUAAUUGUUAAAACUGCACAGAAUGCUAUGCUGUGACUGCUACUGGAUAUGUCUUAUCCAUGAGCAUGUGAAAAUAUGAAUAUCAUGGUCCAUAAAUAUUUAUCUGGGGGAAAAAUUCUGACAAUAGAAGUCUUAAUCUAGCAGACUUCAUAACAACAUUCAUCUCUGGAAAAAUUCAGAUAAGAAAUACUGCAUUUUUUUAAUUAUUUUUAUUUAAUAGAAGCUGUAAUUAAUCACUAGAAUAAUUUGUCCAAGGGAUGUUCUGGCUUCUCUGUCACAUGGAGUUUUAAAAUCAAGAUUAAAAUGUCAGCCUAAAAGAUUUACUGUAAUCAGCUAGAGGUUAUUGGACUUGAUGCCACAAUUAAUAGGCAAACUUCUCUGACAGUAGUAAAUGGGAAAUUUGGUUAAAAGACUCUAUCUCUUCCUUUCGACCUUGCCACAUCUGACUUUAUGGUAUCAGUCAGCCUGAGCUUAUAAAUACUAAAGAGAUACUUGAAAGGAGUUAAGCAGUGGACAGGAGUUUCUUUGACAUAUGGAGUGGGCAAGGUCUUGGGCAAGCUUCUCUAGCUGACCCUGCUCUGGGUGGUGGAUUUGGACUGGAUGAUCUCCAGAGGUCCCAUCUGUGGUCUUAUAGUAUCAGUGCAUUUUUCCCAAGUAAUCUUCAGCAUUUGGGACUAGCAGACAUCUGCUCAUCCUCAAACUGAGCGGAACUGGGGAUGUUGUCCAGAUCUCUUUAACAAGGACCCUCAGACUACUCAUUGAUGCUCACUGUUUUCCAAACAGCAGUUUGACAGCCUGUUAAUAACCUGUGAUGCCAUUAAGAAGGCAUGCAAAACACACCCUUUGUCUAUCUGUCCAUUUCUGUCACAUAGUCAUUGUUUACCCUUUAUUACAAAUUAUAACUAUGAUUACAUAUGUACUGGGUUUGCAUGGCAAGGCUUUGGUAGAGGGGCUUUGCAGGGGUGGCGUUUCUGAGAAGAGUCCAGCAGCUGCCCCAUGCUAAAUAAGGACCUGUUUCAGCUGGCUCCAAAGGGACCUGUCACUGGCCAGAGACAAGCAAUAAGCAAUACUGUACACCUCUGAGAGUAAAUUUAAGAAAGGGGAAAAAAAUGCUGCACAACAGCAGCUGGGAAAUACGAGGUGACUUGCAGACACCAAUGUUAGUACAGAAAGAGGACAGGAGGUGCUCCAGGCAUGGAGCAGAAGUUCCCCUGUGGCCUGUGGAGAGGCCUCUGGUGGAGCAGGCUGUCUCCCUGCACCCAUGGGUCCCACAAGGAGCAGAUCUCCACGCUGCAGCCCAUGGAAGAGCCCCCAGUGGAGCAGGUGGAUGUGGCCUGGAGGAGGCUGCAGCCCUUGGAGAGCCCCUGCAGAAGCAGGCCCCAGGCCAGAACUGCAGCCCGCGGAGAGGAGCCCACGCUGGAUCAGUUCGGGAAGGACAGCAUCCUGUGGGAGGGACCCCAUGUGGAGCAGGAGCAGGCAGUGGCUGUGAAGAAGCAGCAGAGAUGAAAUGCUAGGGACUGACCAUAGCCCCCAUUCCUCUGUGCUGCUUGGGGGGAGGACAUGAAAGAGGAUGAAUGGGAGGAAGGUGGUUUUUUAGUUUGUUUUUAGUUUCUUGCUGCUCUAGCUUGUUAGCAAUAGGGAAUAAAUCACAUUAAUCUCUCUGUGCUGAGUCUGUUUUGACUGUGAUGAUAAUUGUUGAGUAAUCUCCAUCUUUAUCUUAACCUUUGAGCUCUUUUCAUCAUAUUUUGCCCCCUUUUUCUUUGAGGAAGAGGAGUGGUUGUGGUGAAGCUCAAGUUACCUAGCUGAAUAAAACCAACCAAAACUUUUAAAAGAAAAUAGCUUCUCCCUGUUCCUCAACAAGUGAAUAGGUGCAGGAAUAAACCUACUUGAAAAAUGGUGGAACAGAUGAGAAG
Molecule: long non-coding RNA, 2794 nt
Organism: Anas platyrhynchos (mallard)
Lineage: Eukaryota; Metazoa; Chordata; Aves; Anseriformes; Anatidae
Source: RefSeq, a predicted model, not a curated record